GGUUGUAUAGCGCAAUGGUAGCGCGCUUGCUUUUGUAGCGGAAAGUUUUGGGUUUAAUUCCCGGUACGACCU
Gaeumannomyces graminis is the source of this 72-nucleotide transfer RNA. It matches the Rfam family "tRNA". Rfam says of the family: Transfer RNA (tRNA) molecules are approximately 80 nucleotides in length. Their secondary structure includes four short double-helical elements and three loops (D, anti-codon, and T loops). The record is from Rfam. Lineage: Eukaryota; Fungi; Ascomycota; Sordariomycetes; Magnaporthales; Magnaporthaceae.